UCCCUGGAGGACUAGUGGUUAGGCCUUGGCGCUCUCAUCGCAGCAGCCCCGGUUCAAUUCCCAGUCAGGGAA
RNAcentral lists this transfer RNA (72 nucleotides) under Pangasianodon hypophthalmus (striped catfish). Its description in RNAcentral is "tRNA-Glu". The record is from RNAcentral. Lineage: Eukaryota; Metazoa; Chordata; Actinopteri; Siluriformes; Pangasiidae.